Molecule: ribosomal RNA, 409 nt
Filed under: Actinomycetes bacterium
Lineage: Bacteria; Bacillati; Actinomycetota; Actinomycetes
Description: Actinobacteria bacterium partial 16S ribosomal RNA
Rfam family: Bacterial small subunit ribosomal RNA
Source: RNAcentral
UGGGGAAUAUUGCACAAUGGGCGGAAGCCUGAUGCAGCGACGCCGCGUGGGGGAUGAAGGCCUUCGGGUUGUAAACUCCUUUCGACAGGGACGAAGCUUUUGUGACGGUACCUGUAUAAGAAGCACCGGCUAACUACGUGCCAGCAGCCGCGGUAAUACGUAGGGUGCGGGCGUUGUCCGGAAUUACUGGGCGUAAAGAGCUCGUAGGUGGUUUGUCGCGUCGUCUGUGAAAUUCCGGGGCUUAACUCCGGGCGUGCAGGCGAUACGGGCUGACUUGAGUGCUGUAGGGGAGACUGGAAUUCCUGGUGUAGCGGUGAAAUGCGCAGAUAUCAGGAGGAACACCGAUGGCGAAGGCAGGUCUCUGGGCAGUAACUGACGCUGAGGAGCGAAAGCAUGGGUAGCGAACAGG